AAUGCAGGGAGGAGGGGAAGGAGAAGAGAGGAGAGUAGACUACCAAAAGCUGUGAGAAAUGCCUAAUUCAAACAAACAACAAAUAUUAUGGACAUUUCCUCAAAUAUUAUAUGGCUUUUUAAAGAGGGUUAAAUAGACAAUGAUGCUAUGGAGAUGGCAGAUAGCCAAUGUGGACAUCAUUCUCCCAUCAGCUACAGGUUUGAAGUCUCUGGAACUGAAUAGAAGCAAGAAACCUGCUUGAGCAAAGAUCUUAAACCUAAUAAGACAAGGGAAGCCAGCACCUUGUUCUUUAGUGAAAGGUCCUGAAUGAAGGAAAGUCAGCCAUGCCUGGG
Molecule: long non-coding RNA, 332 nt
Organism: Mauremys reevesii (Reeves's turtle)
Lineage: Eukaryota; Metazoa; Chordata; Testudines; Geoemydidae
Exons: 3
Source: RefSeq, a predicted model, not a curated record